Molecule: ribosomal RNA, 222 nt
Filed under: uncultured bacterium
Lineage: Bacteria
Description: partial 16S ribosomal RNA
Rfam family: Bacterial small subunit ribosomal RNA
Source: RNAcentral
UACGUAGGGUGCAAGCGUUAAUCGGAAUUACUGGGGCGUAAAGCGUGCGUAGACGAUAGCGUAAGUCAGAUGUGAAAAGCCCCCGGGCUCAACCUGGGGAAUUGCAUUUGAGACUGCUCUGCUCGGGUGCGGAAGAGGGAAGCGGAAUUUCCGGUGUAGCGGUGAAAUGCGUAGAUAUCGGAAGGAACACCAGUGGCGAAAGCGGCUUCCUGGUCCGACACC